Molecule: ribosomal RNA, 481 nt
Filed under: uncultured bacterium
Lineage: Bacteria
Description: partial 16S ribosomal RNA
Rfam family: Bacterial small subunit ribosomal RNA
Source: RNAcentral
UUGCACGCUGGCGGCAUGCUUUACACAUGCCAGUCGAACGGUAACAGCACUUCGGUGGCUGACGAGUGGCGAACGGGUGAGUAAUACAUCGGAACGUGCCUAGUAGUGGGGGAUAACUACUCGAAAGAGUAGCUAAUACCGCAUGAGAUCUAAGGAUGAAAGCAGGGGACCUUCGGGCCUUGCGCUACUAGAGCGGCUGAUGGCAGAUUAGGUAGUUGGUGGGAUAAAAGCUUACCAAGCCGACGAUCUGUAGCUGGUCUGAGAGGACGACCAGCCACACUGGGACUGAGACACGGCCCAGACUCCUACGGGAGGCAGCAGUGGGGAAUUUUGGACAAUGGGCGCAAGCCUGAUCCAGCAAUGCCGCGUGCAGGAUGAAGGCCUUCGGGUUGUAAACUGCUUUUGUACGGAACGAAAAGCCCUCUUCUAAUACAGGAGGGUCAUGACGGUACCGUAAGAAUAAGCACCGGCUAACUACGUG